GAUGAAGAACGUAGCGAAAUGCGAUAGGUAAUGUGAAUUGCAGAAUUCAGUGAAUCAUCGAAUCUUUGAACGCACAUUGCGCCCGCCAGUAUUCUGGCGGGCAUGCCUGUUCGAGCGUCAUUUCAACCCUCAAGACCCCUUCGGGGGACUUGGUGUUGGGGACCGGCAUAGGGGCCUUGCGCCCCUCGCCGCCCCCGAAAUGAAUUGGCGGCCUCGUCGCGGCCUCCCCUGCGUAGUAGCACAACCUCGCAACGGGAACGUGACGGCGGCCACUGCCGUAAAACAACCCAAUUUUAUUAGAGUUGACCUCGAAUCAGGUAGGAAUACCCGCUGAACUUAAGCAUAUCAAUAAGCGGAGGA
Molecule: unclassified non-coding RNA, 360 nt
Filed under: soil metagenome
Description: partial contains 5.8S ribosomal RNA, internal transcribed spacer 2, and large subunit ribosomal RNA
Rfam family: 5.8S ribosomal RNA (bases 1-120)
Source: RNAcentral